This 253-nucleotide ribosomal RNA is filed under the name uncultured bacterium. Its description in RNAcentral is "partial 16S ribosomal RNA". It matches the Rfam family "Bacterial small subunit ribosomal RNA", at positions 524 to 776 of the family's 1533-position model. The record is from RNAcentral.
UACAGAGGGUGCAAGCGUUGUUCGGAAUUAUUGGGCGUAAAGGGCGCGUAGGCGGUGCGGUAAGUCUGCGGUGAAAUCUCCUGGCUCAACUGGGAGUCUGCCGUGGAAACUGCCGUGCUUGAGUGUGGGAGAGGUGAGUGGAAUUCCCGGUGUAGCGGUGAAAUGCGUAGAGAUCGGGAGGAACACCAGCGGCGAAGGCGGCGACCUGGACAGGUACUGACACUCAACUACGAAAGCGUGGGGAGCGAACAGG